GAUGAAGAACGUAGCGAAAUGCGAUAAGUAAUGUGAAUUGCAGAAUUCAGUGAAUCAUCGAAUCUUUGAACGCACAUUGCGCCCGCCAGUAUUCUGGCGGGCAUGCCUGUUCGAGCGUCAUUUCAACCAUCAAGCCCCAGGCUUGUGUUGGAGCCCUGCGGCUGCCGCAGCCUCCCAAAACCAGUGGCGGGCUCGCUAUCACACCGAGUGCAGUAGUUUACUCUUCGCUCAGGGCGUGUGGCGGGUGCUAGCCGUAAAACCCCCAACUUCUCAAGGUUGACCUCGGAUCAGGUAUGAAUACCCGCUGAACUUAAGCAUAUCAAUAAGCGGAGGA
RNAcentral lists this unclassified non-coding RNA (334 nucleotides) under soil metagenome. RNAcentral's name for it is "partial contains 5.8S ribosomal RNA, internal transcribed spacer 2, and large subunit ribosomal RNA". The stretch from base 1 to 120 matches the Rfam family "5.8S ribosomal RNA", at positions 35 to 154 of the family's 154-position model. The record is from RNAcentral.